Molecule: long non-coding RNA, 1874 nt
Organism: Bombus huntii
Lineage: Eukaryota; Metazoa; Arthropoda; Insecta; Hymenoptera; Apidae
Exons: 2
Source: RefSeq, a predicted model, not a curated record
AUCGUCUCCUAAUUUGUCUAAGAUUUUGUCCCAUUGUGCUUGCCAGAAAUCUCCAGAGGCUCCCCAAAAUCUUUGUAAAUGCCUAAUAAAUGAAAGGAUCGAAACAGUGAAAUGAUUAUGGUAAACAUGAGUCGUUCAAUCUUAAAGAAAAGGAUAGUAAUGGAAGAAAGUUCGGUUUCAAAUAAAAGCGUGUGAGGAAAGACGGCGCGACGUUUGCACAACAGGACGUUAUACAAGAUAACCCGGAUUCGAUCGACAAUGCACUGAACAGCCACUCGACUUUAGCCCUUUCAAACGUGCGAUUACGUGCAAUUACCGUUUUUAACGUGUUCGCGGACAAGUUGCAUGAAGCCGAUUAUCGACGUUCGAAUUAUUACAUACCAUGCCAUACCAUAUUUACGAAUUCAACAUUUUCACAAAAUAUAACAAUUUUUACACGGAAAUAGUAUACAUGAAACAUAAAAAAGACUAUUAUAAACGGAUACAUUUAAUAAAAAAAAUAUGUCGAUAAAAUGCUGAUAUUUAAAGAUUUUCUACUUUAUACCGUUAAAACAAAAGAAAUAAAAUUAAUUUCUUUUUAUUAAACUAUCAUAGAUGUUUUAACAAGCAAAAAAUGAAUAAAUACAUGACAGUCAGAAAAGGUCGCAUGCAUGGCUAACAAUAAAAAUUAAUACAGUAAAUUUUGUGAUAGAUGAUGCCUUGCUUGUUGUCUUAACGAAUGGCAUCAAUGUUUAAAUCAACUACGAACAUGCCAUCCUGUACGUCAAGAUCUAAUUAAAUACACGUAGAAUCAUAUUGUAAUGUAUUCACAAAUUGAUUUAAGUAUUGUUUAAUAUAUACAUGAGGUAUCGUACAGCUUACAGCUUUGAAGCGAUAGAAGGAAAAUAAAAAUCUCAUUAGAUGGAACAAUAUGAUUUCGAAUAGUGCAUCAUAUAAUGUAUUAUAUAUGACUGUUCUCGAAGUGGAGCUUAAAGAUCUAUGUGACUCAUUUUCUUUUUUUAAUGAAUCAUUUGUUAGACAUGUCAUUCUGCUGCUAUCUAUUGAGCAUUUUAUCGCGCAUCAACCAGAUUAACAUGACCUUGGCUUUUUCGUGCUUCGAUUUUCCUUCCUGUUAGCUAAUGUUUAUUUAAAGUCCCUUUUAUCUUCCCUUAUUCAAUCUUUUCAAUGUACAUUAAUUUUUAAAAUAUACCUAUCUAUUAUGCCAUCUAAUUUAUUUUCUAAAAUAUAUAUACAUAUAUAUAUUACAAAAUUUAGUUUAUCUUUCACAGUAACAUCAGUUUAAAUCACAUCCUCUUAAUGAUUUCUCAUAAAAUUUGGACUGAUUAUGAAGUAGUGCGUUGUUUGUAGUAGUGCGAUGAGAUGAACGGAUAAAACUAAUUAUAAAUGGAUAUACUGUGUUGGAAAAUUUUGUUCGUCUAAUCGAAUAAUUUUUAUGCAAGGCACAUAAAUAUUUCAUGCUUUUGUUAUGUCUUUUGCUGAUGUUUUGAUAAUAUAUAAUUUUAUAUAUAUAUAAUUUUUUAAAAUAAUUUCUAUAAAUCGUCAGACGUAGGAUUUUCAAGUCACGUUAAAAAGCGACUUCUGCUAUAAUAUCGUAAUACGUAAGGGUGAAAGUUUCACGAGCUCUGAAAACAUAAUGAGAUUUCACUUAUAAAAUAAAUACAUCAAUUCUCGAAGUUUAUUUUUACGCUCUCGAUAAUAUUGACAGACAUAUUUGUGUUAAUCCGUAUUCGUAACAUUGAUUUGUAAUUUACCAUGGAUACUCGUACUUGUUAUAUUUGUUUGUUAUAAGUCUUCAAAAGUUAUGAUAUUAUCAUUGUUAUAUAAUCGUAUUGUAAGUGUAACAGCUCCUUCCCGAAAAACCAAUAGCAUGAUAU